Molecule: ribosomal RNA, 253 nt
Filed under: uncultured bacterium
Lineage: Bacteria
Description: partial 16S ribosomal RNA
Rfam family: Bacterial small subunit ribosomal RNA
Source: RNAcentral
UACAGAGGUCUCAAGCGUUGUUCGGAUUCAUUGGGCGUAAAGGGUGUGUAGGUGGCCUGCUAAGUCAGACGUGAAAUCCCUCAGCUUAACUGGGGAACUGCGUCUGAGACUGGCAGGCUUGAGGACAGGAGAGGAACGCGGAAUUCCAGGUGUAGCGGUGAAAUGCGUAGAUAUCUGGAGGAACACCGGUGGCGAAGGCGGCGUUCUGGACUGUUUCUGACACUGAAAAACGAAAGCCAGGGGAGCAAACGGG